Molecule: ribosomal RNA, 818 nt
Filed under: uncultured Verrucomicrobiota bacterium
Lineage: Bacteria; Pseudomonadati; Verrucomicrobiota
Description: bacterial SSU rRNA
Rfam family: Bacterial small subunit ribosomal RNA
Source: RNAcentral
GGCGGCGGAGUAAGUCAGGUGUGAAAUCUCGGGGCUCAACCCCGAAACUGCACUUGAUACUGCUUCGCUAGAGUAUUGGAGAGGAGAUUGGAAUUUACGGUGUAGCAGUGAAAUGCGUAGAUAUCGUAAGGAAGACCAGUGGCGAAGGCGAAUCUCUGGACAAUUACUGACGCUGAGGCACGAAGGCCAGGGGAGCAAACGGGAUUAGAUACCCCGGUAGUCCUGGCAGUAAACGGUGCACGUUUGGUGUGGGAGGAUUCGACCCCUUCCGUGCCGGAGCUAACGCGUUAAACGUGCCGCCUGGGAAGUACGGUCGCAAGAUUAAAACUCAAAGAAAUUGACGGGGGCCCGCACAAGCGGUGGAGUAUGUGGCUUAAUUCGAUGCAACGCGAAGAACCUUACCAGGGUUUGACAUGCAUCUCUAAGUCGGUGAAAGCCGGCGAGUGUAGCAAUACACGAUUUGCACAGGUGCUGCAUGGCUGUCGUCAGCUCGUGUCGUGAGAUGUUGGGUUAAGUCCCAUAACGAGCGCAACCCUUAUUGUCAGUUGCUAACAGGUCGUGCUGAGGACUCUGGCGAGACUGCCACCGUAAGGUGUGAGGAAGGUGGGGAUGACGUCAAAUCAGCACGGCCCUUACGUCCAGGGCUACACACGUGUUACAAUGGCCGAUACAAAGGGCAGCUACCGGGUGACCGGAUGCUAAUCUCUAAAGUCGGUCUCAGUUCGGAUCGAAGUCUGCAACCCGACUUCGUGAAGCUGGAUUCGCUAGUAAUCGCGCAUCAGCCAUGGCGCGGUGAAUACGUUCCCGGGCCUUGUACA